This 416-nucleotide long non-coding RNA is filed under the name Brassica napus (rape). RNAcentral's name for it is "long non-coding RNA (BNAP_LNC024481)". The record is from RNAcentral. Lineage: Eukaryota; Viridiplantae; Streptophyta; Magnoliopsida; Brassicales; Brassicaceae.
CGUGUGGGGGAUGUGAAGAAAACACCAACUUCAAAGACGUCUCCUUGAGCCUUCUGUUUAAGUCACACACCAAAGAUAGACCAACGAAACUUGCGAGUUAGAUGAUGAAGACUUUCUUUGUGAAACAGAGAAAAGAACAGAGCAAAACAGAGAAGAUGAAACAGAGCACACAAGCAAGUUUAUCCAGUUCACGCCCGUUAACUAGCGUCGUUACAUCUGGCGGGAUCCUUCUCCCGGAAUCCACUAGAUCAAUAAGUGUUUACAGAGAUAUCAAAACCCUAAGGCCUUUACAAGACUCUCACCGGUUUAUCUCUACACUCUUCUCCAAGAACACAAAGCUAGCUUAUGCUAUGAGUUUAUUCUCUCUCCUCUUUCUCACACCUCUCCCAUAUACAACAAGUUACAUAUAUAUAUUU